ACUGUAGUGUUGUCUGUUCAUAUGUUAUGCUUAGCUAAAGGCGAAGCUUCAGAUGUUUAAUUCACAUUUGUAGCUGCUGUAUGAUUGUAUGUGUGAGUGUAUAUGUACCCUGCAAUGGACCCGCCCUCUGCUGACCCCCAUGAACCUCACCACGAUACGCACCUAAAAGAUGCAUAGAUGGAUGGUAUGGCUUUGAUGCACGUUGUAUUUUUAAGUUAAAAAUGAAAGACUAACAUAUGUAACAAGGAUCUUUGGUACUUGAUCUCAUGAAAUUUCAAUAUCUGCUCUGAGAUGCAUUAUUGUUUGAAGCGAUUGAUGUCAGAAGCGGUUGUUGUGAGUUCUGUACACAGUCUGCAUUCUCUUUUUUCCCUUUCUGAUUCUGCUGUAGUGUUGCAUAACUGCUGUAAUGCUCAGAAGCUUAUGGAACAACAGCACUGAGUAUUUGGACGGCCCCGGCGAGAGACAGAGAGAGGGACAGAGAGAGAGGGAGAGACAGAGACAGAGAGAGGGACAGAGAGAGAGACAGAGACAGAAGCCACCGUGUAGGACAUCCCAGCAUGGCUGAUUGACUGUGCGUUGUUUCGGCCGUGUGGGGGGCGAACGUGCUACUCGGGAUGUGAACAUUGCCUUCUCAGGCGUUGGGUGUUACGGCCUUGGUCCUAAUUCAUCCUGACAGCUCUUCUACCAAAAGGAAGCAUAACAAUCCAUUCAAGGGAGGAAAACGUCUUUUUGGGACAUAAACAGAUCUUUUUAAAGUGUACUAGACUUGAUUUCUUUGGAUCUGUUUGAUUUUGUUACACUGUUUCUGGAACGAAUGCUUUUCUAUUAAACAUCUAAGCCAAAGCUA
This is a long non-coding RNA of Paramormyrops kingsleyae, 847 nucleotides long. RefSeq lists it as uncharacterized. The record is from RefSeq and is a predicted model, not a curated record. NCBI's taxonomy places the organism in Eukaryota, Metazoa, Chordata, Actinopteri, Osteoglossiformes, Mormyridae.